UACAGAGGGGGCAAGCGUUGUUCGGAAUUACUGGGCGUAAAGGGCGCGUAGGCGGAUGGCACAGUCAGAUGUGAAAUUCCCGGGCUUAACCUGGGGGCUGCAUUUGAUACGUGUUGUCUUGAGUUCGGAAGAGGGUCGUGGAAUUCCCAGUGUAGAGGUGAAAUUCGUAGAUAUUGGGAAGAACACCGGUGGCGAAGGCGGCGACCUGGUCCGACACUGACGCUGAGGCGCGAAAGCGUGGGGAGCAAACAGG
This 253-nucleotide ribosomal RNA is filed under the name uncultured bacterium. RNAcentral describes it as "partial 16S ribosomal RNA". It matches the Rfam family "Bacterial small subunit ribosomal RNA", at positions 524 to 776 of the family's 1533-position model. The record is from RNAcentral.